CAGUCGCCGCGGGAAUACGUAGGGUGCAAGCGUUAAUCGGAAUUACUGGGCGUAAAGCGUGCGCAGGCGGUUCGCUAAGACAGGUGUGAAAUCCCCGGGCUUAACCUGGGAACUGCAUUUGUGACUGGCGGGCUAGAGUAUGGCAGAGGGGGGUAGAAUUCCACGUGUAGCAGUGAAAUGCGUAGAGAUGUGGAGGAAUACCGAUGGCGAAGGCAGCCCCCUGGGCCAAUACUGACGCUCAUGCACGAAAGCGUGGGGAGCGAACAGGAUUAGAUACCCGGGUAGUCCCUGUCUCUUAUAC
This 301-nucleotide ribosomal RNA is filed under the name uncultured bacterium. RNAcentral describes it as "partial 16S ribosomal RNA". It matches the Rfam family "Bacterial small subunit ribosomal RNA", at positions 509 to 807 of the family's 1533-position model. The record is from RNAcentral.